RNAcentral lists this long non-coding RNA (804 nucleotides) under Cryptosporidium parvum. Lineage: Eukaryota; Apicomplexa; Conoidasida; Eucoccidiorida; Cryptosporidiidae. The record is from RNAcentral.
CAAAUUAAUAAGCACAGGUAUUGGCGGUAAACUUGGGAAUUUUAAUUAAUGAGCAGAAAAAAAAAAGGAACAAAAGUAGUUGAAAGAAACAUUUUUUACGAGAAAAUAAGCAUUAACUAAUUAUAUUUGGAUGAUUAAUUUAUCAAGUAUUAUGUAAUGCGUGAAAAUAACUCAAAUACAAAGUUUUGAUGCCAAUUUUAUUCUACCGACAUACUUUUCCAUAAAUAUCGCGUAUUUUAUUUCAUGUAUACAUUAGUGUACUGUAUUCUGCUCAAAUUUAAAUAAUAGAACAGAAUGGGAAAUUAAGAUAACGGAAUUAUCGUUCUGAUUUCAGAUUCACUCUGUUUCAAGACUGAUGAAAAACCUGCAUUAAAUAAUUAAAUUUUCCCGCUCCAAAAUUUUCUAUGAGCUAAUAAAAGCCCUCAAAGUAAUGUGCUCUAAUUUCCACGUAAUUAUCCUUAAGUUUGAUUCCACUACGCCAAAAUAAGGAACAUCAGAAAAAGAGAUAUUAAAAACCACAUACUUUGAUGAUUUAUACUAAAUUUCAAGAUGAAGGAAAUGUGUUCAUAUUAAACACAAAUUCUAGUAUUUAAUAAUCUUAGCACUAAUAUUACUAUAUGCUGCUUUUGCAACAGUGAAAUAAAGUAGGCUUACCAGUGAAACCGAAAAAUUUCCAUUCAAAGCCAACAGUUGAUUUGUGGUAUUUAAGAUAAUGAUAGGAGUGGUAUACUAUAAGACUUUAAUUUUUGUUCCUACCCCCUUGUUUUUUCUUUAAAUAAUUAUAACUUAAGAAAUCUGUAAAUC